GACGGGGGGGGCAAGUGUUCUUCGGAAUUACUGGGCGUAAAGGGCUCGUAGGCGGCCAACUAAGUCAGACGUGAAAUCCCUCGGCUUAACCGGGGAACUGCGUCUGAUACUGGAUGGCUUGAGUUUGGGAGAGGGAUGCGGAAUUCCAGGUGUAGCGGUGAAAUGCGUAGAUAUCUGGAGGAACACCGGUGGCGAAGGCGGCAUCCUGGACCAACACUGACGCUGAGUGAGCGAAAGCCAGGGGAGCAAACCGG
RNAcentral lists this ribosomal RNA (254 nucleotides) under uncultured bacterium. Its description in RNAcentral is "partial 16S ribosomal RNA". It matches the Rfam family "Bacterial small subunit ribosomal RNA", at positions 524 to 776 of the family's 1533-position model. The record is from RNAcentral.